This 1552-nucleotide long non-coding RNA is filed under the name Panax ginseng (ginseng). Its description in RNAcentral is "long non-coding RNA (PGIN_LNC016191)". The record is from RNAcentral. Lineage: Eukaryota; Viridiplantae; Streptophyta; Magnoliopsida; Apiales; Araliaceae.
AAAAAGACAAAAAAAGGAAAAUUAAUAACAUAUAUUCUAGAAAUUUAUUAUUUACUAAAAUAAAGGGGAAAAAAGAAAAAAAAAAAAAGACGAAGCAAAUAAAUUCCCCAAAAAUUCUCAACUAACAUGACACCCGUUCACCCGGUUUUCGUCCGGAAUUGAACUACCCUACCUGUAAAUCAAUCCCGAUAUAGUUAAAUCGUUGCUGUCUAAUUGCAAUUAGCAAAUUGACAGAACAGAGCAGAGGAUAGAGAAACUGCAGACCCAAUUCAUAUAUAUAAACACAAUCACAUACAGACACAAGAAUCAAAAAUUCAAAUGGCGGAAGAAGAUAUAGCAACCCCACAACCAGAUGCCCAGCUCUUUGGCCUUCUAUCUAGUCUCCUCCAGCAGGUAUUUAUACUUUAAUCGCUCAUAUUUUGCAAUUUUUGUUCUUUCGGUUGUACCUAUAUAAGCAUUUGUAUUGUUGAGAUGUGUGGGUGUAAGUUUAGAAGUAUUGUAUGUUUUAUGGAUUUUAAUCAAGUUUUUGAUCUGGGUCUUAUUAUUUGCUUAAUUUCAGGUUAUGGGUAUUCAAAAAAUUUGAUCUUUGAAUUGGAUUUGCUUGUUAGUGCAGUUUUUGAUAGUUGAUUUUCCCUUUUCCCUCUUAUUGUCACAAUUUGGUAGUUGGCUGAUUUUGUUGUGGUUUAAUAGUUUUGAUAUUGAUAUUGAUAAUAUAUGCAUCAAGAAUCAACACUGUGAUGUAUCUUAUAGUCUUGGUUGUGGUAGCAUUCACUUAACACAUUCUUAUCAAAAAAAAAAGAAAAAAAAAAGAAGAGAAAAGAAGAUGCAGCGACUUGAUGUUAAAAAUUUUGCUUUAUAGUAAGAUAUAGAACAACAAUAUUUCUGCCUGAAUCGAAUGGUUGACCAUUCUUUCCUUAAGACUAUAUUCGCCCCUUACUUUUGCUACACAGAGUUACUGCGAAUUAGUCUCCCAAGAUAAGACAGGCCCAGAUUUUACUCUGUACUAGAAUUUGUUGUGUAGGAACAAAUCUAGUGUCAAACUAUAAAUGAAAGAAGAAAAUUUAUAAUAAGGAAAAUAUUCAGAAUGAUAAUUUUCCUAACUUGAGAAGGAUUGAAAAUUUUGAAGUAUUGAAUUUGGUGGAUUCCUGAUCUAUUUAUAGGUUUGUCGUAUCCCAAUUAUUGGGAUAUGACGUAUCCUAUAAAUUGGGUCGUAUCCCAAUUAUGGGAUAUGUCGUUCUGGAAUUUUUGAUACGUAUCCCAAUUCCCAAUUUUUGGCCCAAAUACGAUGUCGUAUUCCAAUACUUCCGCUCCAAAUAUUACCGUUGCGUAUUUUUGACCCAACUCAAUUUUGGCUUCCGCCCAAAUAUUACCGUUGGCUCCAACUUCCAAUACCGACGCGUUAAUAUUAUAACAUAUAAUAUAUUUAUUAUUUACUUUAGAUAAUGAAAAUAUCCAACACUUGAUACAUUUUUGAUGUGGCUGCUAGGUCAAUGUUAUGUUCCAAAGGUAUUGUUUGAAUUACUUUACUACAUAAGUAAUAUACUAAACCACC